UAUGGAGGGUCCGAGCGUUAAUCGGAAUUACUGGGCGUAAAGCGUGCGCAGGCGGUUUGUUAAGCGAGAUGUGAAAGCCCUGGGCUUAACCUAGGAAUAGCAUUUCGAACUGGCGAACUAGAGUCUUGUAGAGGGGGGUAGAAUUCCAGGUGUAGCGGUGAAAUGCGUAGAGAUCUGGAGGAAUACCGGUGGCGAAGGCGGCCCCCUGGACAAAGACUGACGCUCAUGCACGAAAGCGUGGGGAGCAAACAGG
This 253-nucleotide ribosomal RNA is filed under the name uncultured bacterium. RNAcentral describes it as "partial 16S ribosomal RNA". It matches the Rfam family "Bacterial small subunit ribosomal RNA", at positions 524 to 776 of the family's 1533-position model. The record is from RNAcentral.